RNAcentral lists this transfer RNA (88 nucleotides) under Candidatus Aenigmatarchaeota archaeon. RNAcentral describes it as "tRNA-Leu". It matches the Rfam family "tRNA". Rfam says of the family: Transfer RNA (tRNA) molecules are approximately 80 nucleotides in length. Their secondary structure includes four short double-helical elements and three loops (D, anti-codon, and T loops). Further hydrogen bonds mediate the characteristic L-shaped molecular structure. tRNAs have two regions of fundamental functional importance: the anti-codon, which is responsible for specific mRNA codon recognition, and the 3' end, to which the tRNAs corresponding amino acid is attached (by aminoacyl-tRNA synthetases). tRNAs cope with the degeneracy of the genetic code in two manners: having more than one tRNA (with a specific anti-codon) for a particular amino acid; and 'wobble' base-pairing, i.e. permitting non-standard base-pairing at the 3rd anti-codon position. Lineage: Archaea; Nanobdellati; Candidatus Aenigmatarchaeota. The record is from RNAcentral.
GCCGGGUUGGCAGAGCGGCCUAUUGCGCUCGUCUUAAGAACGAGUAACUGUGUUCGCAGUUGCGUGGGUUCGAAUCCCACACCCGGCG